RNAcentral lists this ribosomal RNA (439 nucleotides) under uncultured bacterium. RNAcentral's name for it is "partial 16S ribosomal RNA". It matches the Rfam family "Bacterial small subunit ribosomal RNA", at positions 338 to 795 of the family's 1533-position model. The record is from RNAcentral.
CCUACGGGAGGCAGCAGUGGGGAAUAUUGCACAAUGGAGGAAACUCUGAUGCAGCGACGCCGCGUGAGGGAAGACGGUCUUCGGAUUGUAAACCUCUGUCUUUGGGGAAGCAAAUGACGGUACCCAAAGAGGAAGCUCCGGCUAACUACGGGCCAGCAGCCGCGGUAAUAGGUAGGGAGCGAGCGUUGUCCGGAAUUACUGGGUGUAAGGGGGGCGUAGGGGGGCGAGAAGGUUGAAUGUUAAGUCUACCGGCUUAACUGGUAGCUGCGUUGAAAACUUCUUGUCUUGAGUGUAGUAGAGGCAGGCGGAAUUCGUAGUGUAGCGGUGAAAUGCGUAGAUAUUACGAAGAACCCCAGUGGCGAAGGCGGCCUGCUAGGCUUUAACUGACGCUGAGGCUCGAAAGCGUGGGGAGCAAACAGGAUUAGAUACCCGUGUAGUC